CAAUAGCGUAUAUUAAAGUUGUUGCAGCUAAAAAGCUCGUAGUUGGAUUUCGGGGCAGCCUGGCUGGUCCGCCGCAAGGCGAGUACUGGUCAGCCGCCCUUCCUCUCGAAAGCCCCGACUGCUCUUUAUUGCAGUGGUCGGGUAGUUCGGGACGUUUACUUUGAAAAAAUUAGAGUGUUCAAGGCAGGCCUACGCCUGAAUACAUUAGCAUGGAAUAAUGGAAGAGGACCUCGGUCCUAUUUUGUUGGUUUCCAGGACCGAAGUAAUGAUUAAGAGGGACAGUUGGGGGCAUUCGUAUUUAAUUGUCAGAGGUGAAAUUCUCGGAUUUAUGAAAGACGAACAACUGCGAAAGCAUUUGCCAAGGAUGUUUUCAUUAA
Molecule: ribosomal RNA, 377 nt
Filed under: uncultured eukaryote
Lineage: Eukaryota
Description: partial 18S ribosomal RNA
Rfam family: Eukaryotic small subunit ribosomal RNA
Source: RNAcentral